AUGCGUCCAGUAGGGGGAGGCUGUAUAUUAGUACAUGAGCCUAGUCAUCAAAACAGCAGACCAUAUCUGUAUGAUAGCGGCAGACAUUUUUUGAAGCGAUACGAAAUGAGCUUGCGUGACAUGGCUUCUUCUGGGGAAGAAAUAAUAUCCAUACAGAGAGGUUGCAACUUACCUGCGCUUAACAGAUGCACCUCCUGCUGUUCCCUAUUUCACUGUCCUUUCUGUAUUUCUGAUUUUUUCAAGCCCUCAAAGAAAAGUAAAGUACAAACUCAUCUUAAGCUUCACUUUUCUAGGGCAGUCGUCCAUGAAGGUAGCAUCAUUUUGUUGUAA
Long non-coding RNA from Cyprinus carpio (common carp), 330 nucleotides. The record is from Ensembl. NCBI's taxonomy places the organism in Eukaryota, Metazoa, Chordata, Actinopteri, Cypriniformes, Cyprinidae.